RNAcentral lists this ribosomal RNA (497 nucleotides) under uncultured bacterium. Its description in RNAcentral is "partial 16S ribosomal RNA". It matches the Rfam family "Bacterial small subunit ribosomal RNA", at positions 28 to 507 of the family's 1533-position model. The record is from RNAcentral.
GACGAACGCUGGCGGCGUGCCUAAUACAUGCAAGUUGAGCGCUGAAGGUUGGUACUUGUACCAACUGGAUGAGCAGCGCACGGGUGAGUAACGCGUGGGGAAUCUGCCUUUGAGCGGGGGACAACAUUUGGAAACGAAUGCUAAUACCGCAUAAAAACUUUAAACACAAGUUUUAAGUUUGAAAGAUGCAAUUGCAUCACUCAAAGAUGAUCCCGCGUUGUAUUAGCUAGUUGGUGAGGUAAAGGCUCACCAAGGCGAUGAUACAUAGCCGACCUGAGAGGGUGAGCGGCCACAUUGGGACUGAGACACGGCCCAAACUCCUACGGGAGGCAGCAGUAGGGAAUCUUCGGCAAUGGACGAAAGUCUGACCGAGCAACGCCGCGUGAGUGAAGAAGGUUGUCGGAUCGUAAAACUCUGUUGGUAGAGAAGAACGUUGGUGAGAGUGGAAAGCUCAUCAAGUGACGGUAACUACCCAGAAAGGGACGGCUAACUACGUG